UCUCCGGGUUCUGUCGCCCCGGUCUUUGGCUGCAGCUGUAGGGUCGGACUACAAAGCCCAGGAUGCGUCGCGGUCCCUCCUUUGAGGCCCCUCUGCUUCCGGAGAUCGCCUCAGCGUGGUCCCAGAGAGAAGGGGGAAGGGCCUUAAUCACGCCAGCGACGAGGCGACCAAUGGUGGCUGAGAUGGGCGGGCUGUGGAAGUCGCGGGCUCAGGCCUCUCCCCGCCACUGAAAGAACUGUAGAUGUUCUCAAAUGGUCCUGUUUGCCCACAGUUUUAUUGGGUGAGAGUCAUGAUUUCCGGUUGGACAUGGCUUCAAAGAGUGUUCAGUAUCUAAUAUGGGUUCACCUGCUGUUUUUCUUUUGCUUCUUCACCUCGAAUCUCGAGGGGGUCCCACAUGGCUGUCCCAGCCCCCACGAAGCUGGAGUCAGAGAGGUGGGGGGCAGGUGGGCAGAUGGCCUUAGGAACACUGGCGGCAGCCGCACUCUAAGUGUCUUUCCACCUCUUCCACGAACGAGGAGCCGUCGGUGCACUGGAAGACGUAUUUCCGCCGCUUGCUGCGGGUGGGCUGGCAGCACUGGGGCCCACAGCCCCCACGACAUUCCAUGAUGGGCACUCUGGAGGCUGUGGCACACGAGGCAUAACCUUUCUGGCGGCGGAUCACCUCUCGGACUACCUCCCCCAGGCACGGGCUCUCUGCAGAGGGUGGAAGAGGUUACCAGCCUCAGAGAAGACUGAAUGAGAAAAGGCUUUAUGCAUUUUAAUGAAUUUUGCCUGGGAAUUUCCAGGAGGGCAUACUUACACUCCAGAAAAUGCUGAUCGAGCAAUUCAAUUCAGGUUGGAUGAGAGUGCCGGUCCCCACAUCUUGUGUCAUCAGAAUCAUCUGGGAUAAAUUUGCAAAUGGACAAAACGUGGCACAGACAUAUAAUGGAAUAUUAUUCAGCCUUAAAAAAGGUCAUUCUGACGCCUGUUACAAGGUGGAUGAACCUUGAGGACAUCAAGCUAAGUGAAAUAAGGCAGUCACAAAAAUGUAAAUACUGUAUGGUUCCACUUACAUGAGGUACUCAGAGUGGUCACCUUUAAAUUGGGUCAGGAAGUAGAAUGGGGGUUACCGGGGGCCAGGGGUGGGGGCUUGGGAAGGGAGUGUUUAAUGGAUGCAGAGUUUCAGUUUUGCAAGACUCAAAAGCUCUGGAGAUGGAUGGUGGCGUUGGCUGAGGACAGUGCAAGUGUCCUUACUGCUGCAGAGCUGCACGCUUCCACAUACUGCAGGUGUAACCCUGCAUUACAGGCCUCAUGUAGAUGGUCUCGACCAGGGUUGGAAAAACUGGACUUCUUCAUGAUUCCUUCUCAGAGACCGUGACCAAGGGCCAUUUGCAUAGUUGGGUUUAUGCCAUGCAGUGAGUACUAAGCCUAAAAAGAAGAUCCCUGCUAGUGAGGCCAUGUGACUACCCCCACCCUGUAAGCUGAGCUCCGAGAUAGUAGCAUCUCCCGUUGGAAGGAAUCAUGCCCAAGCUUGACAUCAUGUGAGCUGGAUCCUAAGUCCAAC
Ailuropoda melanoleuca (giant panda) is the source of this 1543-nucleotide long non-coding RNA. RefSeq lists it as uncharacterized. The record is from RefSeq and is a predicted model, not a curated record. The transcript is spliced from 8 exons. NCBI's taxonomy places the organism in Eukaryota, Metazoa, Chordata, Mammalia, Carnivora, Ursidae.